CUCGUAUCCAUCACGUCUCGGCAGACACUGAACACCUGCCACUGUGACUCCACCCACCACAUCCUGGUACCUCAUCCCCAGAUUUGAACCUGUGAUCGUCACCAAGACUCCACCCUCCAGGGGACCAGAGACAGAUAAACCGGAGCAGAAAACUGGAGCUGACUGACUGUAUACUGAAACUACAGAGAGACAGGCAGGUGAGAGACAAACAGGAUGUCAGAAGCAACGGCGUUGCCGCUGUCCACCACCACACUGUCGUACAGAUCACCUGACCAAUCAGAGCGCACCAACACCUGCAACACACACACACAGGUAAGUCACUGUUCACAGCAACAGACACAGUGAAGAUCUGACCCCACCCUAAAUUGACCCCCCACAACCAACCAACCCCCCACCCUCAACCAUUGAGGGUGGGGGGGAACAUUGUUCUCCAACUUUUUUGUUCACCCUGCAGAUGCGUCCCCUACGGACGUGUCAGUAAAUCACUGCUGUGGUGGCGAUGACCUGCCAGCAGGUGGUACUGUGAUUCUCUAGCCUGACGUUUCAGCAGAGAGAGAAAACUGUUUCUACUGCUCCGGUGGAACCAAGAUCUACCUGAUUCAGCAGGAACCACAGCAUCACAUGACCACACCUGUCAGCGGCCCUAGCCUGCUGCUUGUCACCUGAACGGGACGCCACACAGCCAGAAACCACCUCACUCAGUGAUUGGUGCGUUGGUGAGGAGGUUAGAAAGGAGGAAAGCGAUGGUGUGUCCCGCCUCUGUUGCUGUGGUGACGGCGGUCAGCAGGGUAGAGGAGGAGAAGGUUGGCGUGGCUGGAAGUGGCACAGCACUGGCGAUGGGGUUAGGGGUGUGUUCCCCUCCACAGGGGUACUCCAAGAGAGAGACCUUACAGACAAAUGGAGAGAGAAUGAGACCAGUGUUUACUAUCAGAAGAACCAAUCACGUUCAGAUGUCAAGCAUCACAGAAGUCCAACAAUGAUGCUGGACUUUCUCUGCUAUCCACACCCCACUGAGGUUGAAUACCUUGGUUUCAACACACCUUAGUUAGAACUAAAGAAGCCACUUGGAUGAGAGGUGAAACGUCUUCAACAAUCUACAACCAAAUCCAGAGCAUGCUCAGUUGGUAUGUCCACAUACUUUUGGACAGAUGAGGGUGCAAAGUUGUACGACAAAAAGACAAAUGCUUCACAUCAUCAAUCACCGUGUUUUUAUCUUCAUCACUGCAGUUUAAUCCGUGUGUGUGUGUGUGUGUGUGUGUGUGUGUGUGUGUGUGUGUGUGUGUGUGUGUGUGUGUGUGUGUGUGUGUGUGUGUGUGUGUGUGUGUGUGUGUGUGUGUGUGUGUGUGUGUGUGUGUGUGUGUGUGUGUGUGUGUGUGUGUGUGUGUUAUAUCUGGGUCAGUCCGACCCGGGGCCUAUACUAUGAAGCAGGAUUUAUGGUUAUCUAGGUAAUUUCAGGUUUAACUCCUACUUUUCAGUCCUAUGAAGAUGGUUCACUUGUUACACAGCCCAACUACUGACCAGUCAGAUCACUGGAAAACCAGAGUCAUCAUUCUACAGGAUCCUGACAGGGACAGAAUAGUUUACAGUAAAGUGAGAAGUGACAAAGAGCAACAGAUAUUUAUAGAUGAGUGGGAUCAUGUUGCUGUUCCAGACCGUUCAUGUGUCCACUAAGGUUUUCAAACAGAGCUUAUUAUAAUUGGAGGUAAAGCUUAGAAUAAAAACGCUAAAUAAAUACAUAGACUAACUAAUAUCAUAGCUUCAUUUUGAAUGAACAAAGAAAACUUGUUUCUGACAGAAUCCUUGAAUCCUUGUGUUGAUGCUUUUAUUGUCUUAUUCUAGUCAUUGCAUCUAUUCUAGUCAUUUGAUCAUAUUAUUUACAUUUGACUUUGUUGAAUGUCACUUUCAGAUGUCGUUUUAACUGAAUUUACCUGCAGCUUUUCUUCGGGUAUCAUAUUAAGAACUUUAUUCAUGAUUCUGACGAUGAUGUUUAUAAUGAAUCACUGCACCUCUGGAUAUGAGAACCCAGGGUUAACUGAGAUAGUUGGUAAUCAGCUUUGUAGUACAGGUUAUCAGGACGUCCGAUGUGAGGUUGCAAAUAACGAGAACAGAUCCUGGGUAUGUUGAAUGCGCCUCGUAGUACAGGCACCAGCUGUGUAGCUCUGUGUUUGAGUGACAGCUGUCUGCUGAUAAAUCCAGCUGCUGAAGAUAACAUCUAUAAUCCCCCACCACCAGGCACACACACACAGGCACACACAGGCGCACACAGGCGCACACAGGCGCGCGCGCGCACACACACACCUACACACACACACACACACACACACAUAUACACACACACACACACACACACACACACACACACACACACACACACACAGUAUUAGGGUUAGCAGUGAGACAGAUGAUGACCAGCUACAGUUUCUUUCCAAACAUGCUGCUAAUGUGUCAUGUCACAUUUUUUAAUCUGUGAUGUCAUCAAUUGAACAAUCAUCAGUGAAAUCAUUGAUGAUGCUUUGUAAACUAUCAAUACAUUAAUGAUUAAUCACCUGUUUUUUUAAAUAAUAAUUAAAUAUCUAAUCACUGAAAAUGUUUUAAAUAAAUAUGAUGUAAU
Long non-coding RNA from Scophthalmus maximus (turbot), 2611 nucleotides. RefSeq lists it as uncharacterized. The record is from RefSeq and is a predicted model, not a curated record. Lineage: Eukaryota; Metazoa; Chordata; Actinopteri; Pleuronectiformes; Scophthalmidae. The transcript has 5 exons.